ACGCUCGACACCUACGGGAGGCAGCAGUGGGGAAUAUUGGGCAAUGGGCGCAAGCCUGACCCAGCAACGCCGCGUGAAGGAAGAAGGCUUUCGGGUUGUAAACUUCUUUUAUUAAGGACGAAGCAAUGACGGUACUUAAUGAAUAAGCUCCGGCUAACUACGUGCAAGCAGCCGCGGUAAUCUGAGCGGGCUGGCAAGGC
Molecule: ribosomal RNA, 200 nt
Filed under: uncultured bacterium
Lineage: Bacteria
Description: partial 16S ribosomal RNA
Rfam family: Bacterial small subunit ribosomal RNA
Source: RNAcentral